CCUACGGGUGGCUGCAGUGGGGAAUAUUGGGCAAUGGGCGCAAGUCUGACCUAGCAACGCCGCGUGAGGGAAGAAGGCUUUCGGGUUGUAAACUUCUUUUAAGGGGGAAGAGCAGAAGACGGUACCCCUUGAAUCAGCCACGGCUAACUACGUGUCAGCAGCCGCGGUAAUGCGUAGGGGGCAAGCGUUGUGCGGAUGUACUGGGUGUAACGGGCGUGCAGCCGGAGAGGUAAGUCAGCUGUGAACGCCACGGGCUCAACCCGUGAACUGCGUUUGAAACUGUGUCCCUUGAGUGUCGGGGAGGUAAUCGGAAUUCCUUGUGUAGCGGUGAAAUGCGUAGAUAUAAGGAAGAACACCAGUGGCGAAGGCGGAUUACUGGACGAUAACUGACGGUGAGGCGCGAAAGCGUGGGGAGCAAACAGGAUUAGAUACCCUAGUAGUC
This 442-nucleotide ribosomal RNA is filed under the name uncultured bacterium. RNAcentral's name for it is "partial 16S ribosomal RNA". It matches the Rfam family "Bacterial small subunit ribosomal RNA", at positions 338 to 795 of the family's 1533-position model. The record is from RNAcentral.